Molecule: unclassified non-coding RNA, 5006 nt
Filed under: Hevea brasiliensis (rubber tree)
Lineage: Eukaryota; Viridiplantae; Streptophyta; Magnoliopsida; Malpighiales; Euphorbiaceae
Source: RNAcentral
UACAGUGUACAACCAGCACACGAUCGUAAUUUGCAGAGCUCACCUCCGUCGUUCUCUUUAGCUUCACUGGUUAGUUCUUAAUAAACCCUAGAAUUGAAAUUUUCACUUUGUCAAUUUCGUUCUGUUUUUCUUUUUCCUCCCUGGUUUACCAGACUCUGAUCUGCUGUCUUGUCUCCGGUUAGAUAUCACUAAUUUGGAAGGCGAGAAUAGCGUUUAGUAUUAUUUCUCAAACGUACCAAGUUUAUAUUUUGUGCUCUUUUAUUGGAAAUUCUCAAUUCUCUUAAUCAGAUAGGUAAGUGUUAGUAAUAACAUUUUAUUGUUUUGUUUCUCGAUUUAAAAACUAUUAUCUUUGUAUUUGUUUAUUUAUUAUCCAAUCCAGUUAUUAUCGAAACUGUGUGAAGACUGAACGUAAGCACUAUGUAAAUUUCGGUUACAUAACAAAGCAAUCUUUUAGCUGUCCGAAUGUAUGAAUUUCUAUGAUUUAUCUGGAUUCUAGUGGGAAAUAGAAUGGAUCCUUGUGUUUUCAUAGCAUUUGAAGGACCCUAUAUCUUCUGAAGUAAGGCAUGAAGAUGGAUGGAAUGCAAAGAAAUGGUAAAAGGGGUGUAUCGAAUUGAUCUCUUAAGACGAUAUUGCUACUUUUCUCUACCAUAUUUUGUGUGCUGAUCUCCAUUUUUAUAAUUGUUCCUGUCUCGAGACUCUAUGUGGCCAGUAACUUUUUUCUCAGCUGUCCAAAAUUGUGCCAUAUGCAAUAAAUUCUAAACAAAUUUAGGCUUAUCCGGUAGAGAAUGGAGCUAUUGCCCAGUUUAUUUUCAUUAUAUCAGGUAGGCUUGAUAUUCUAGAAAGGAUUAAAUAGCCACUAUUUGUAUUGCAUUCUGAAUCAACAUCCUCAAGUAUCAUAUUGUAUUUGUGAUAAGCGUAUUAUAUAUUUAUUGAGGACAUCAUGUAGUCUCAACUGCCUUUCGUGGUAAAUAUUUUUUCUAAAUUUUAACUGCACUUGAAUGUGAAAUGGAUGAGUUUGAUCCUAUGGGAUUGAAGUAUUUGUACCUUACCCAUUCAUCAUGCUUUGCAAGUUUAGUUGCCAUUGAUUCAUUGCCCAUAGAGCCCCUCUGUCCAAGGUAUUUUACAAUGUGUGUGGUUCUGAAAAUGUAUCUAGCAUCUACAAAUACCUGUUGCAUCCUAAAUCAAUAAGUUAUCCUAUAAUGGUUCUCCAUUAGUUUGUAGUGCUUAGUGUGAAACUGGUUCAUGCAGGCACUGUAGGUUUUGAACUCAAAUUUAUUUGGUUCCUUCAAGGUCUUACAAAGCUGGGCAGCAUCAAGGAGGAUCCCUCACCGAAAAGCGGGCAUGCAUGGAUUUGAAAUGAAGGUGUUGCAGGAUACGAAGGAUUCAGCGAAAAUAAAAUUCUCAACACAAACGUCACAUGAGUCACCAAGUGACCUGCAAAAUAAUGCACCUGAGGCUCUUGGGGUGGACCCUGGUUCAGUUUCUGUUUCAAGCAACAACAGCAGAAAAGUUACCCGUGAAGAUAUUGAAGUUGUCCAGAAUCUGAUUGAAAGAUGUCUUCAACUGUAUAUGAAUAGGAAUGAGGUGGUAAAUACCCUUUUGCAACAAGCCAGAAUUGAGCCUGGUUUUACAACCUUAGGUGAGCCUCUUGACACCUUCAGAAAAGUAUGUUUUACUCUCUCUAUAUGAAUGACCUUUAUAUACAUGAUCAUCAAAGCAGACUUUGCUGAGAAAGAAUUUCAUUUUAUUCCUUCUUCAUCUCAGUCACUGUAUCAUGUUUGGAAGCUAAGUGUCAAUAGGAACCAUAAAUAUUAGUACAUAUUAAAUUUUGUUUAUCAAAUAGAGUUGGUAUCUUUCUUCUUCUUCUACAUCCUCCUCUUCUUUAAUUCAGUAUGGCAGAAAUUGGAAGAAGAAAAUGUAGACUUUUUUAAGGCCUACUGCAUGAGGCUAGCUCUGAAGAGACAAAUUAUUAUAUUCAAUCAAUUACUUGAGCACCAGUACCAGCUGAUGAAGAUGAAGUCCCCUGUAUCUCCAAAGGUUCCAUUAGCUUCUAUUGAGAAUGGGAUUCAGCGCUUGCCAGGUAUGUUGUUCCUGUAAUAGUAGAAAUUCAAAACAUAAUAAAGUUAAAAAUACAUGCCGGUAUGCAAUCAACUUGCUAAGACUACUGUCCAAGUUCAAUAUUAGGAUUUAGGUCACAUUCACAUAGCACUCUUAUAUAUGUGUCUGUGUAUAAAUAAGACAAAAUUUGUACCCUUCCCUUGUGUUUUUUCCCCUACCAGGUGGUAGUUAAUUGAUAAUUUGUCAGCCUUUUGUAACCAGCCCUCAGUUGCUAUUGUCAUUUAAGUUUAGUGAACAUAUCUUUCAUCUUCUUUCUUUUCUGGGUUUGUGUGGCAAUGGACUGGAUUGUAUAGAUUCUAACCACAGACAAGUCCGUGGGCAAUUUUUUUUUUUUUUUUGGAUAUUUGAUAUGAACCCCCCUACUUUGGGAUUAAAGCUUUGUUGCUGUUGUUAUCAUAUUCGAUAUGACACAAAUUUUUAAGGUUUGGAGCUGUUCAUAAACAAUAACAAAGAGAUUGUGUUUGCCAACAGUACACAGGCCAUAGUUUUGAAACAAUUUGUUCUUUGAUUAUGGUGCCCAUCAAUCUAUAGCCUUCAACAAGCCUGCCUAUUAGUAUUGCUAAAUUUAGAUUUUCAUAUUCUUUAUGAUGUUUUGGCAUUUUCAUUGGACUGAAUACUAAAAAAUCAUUUAUCAAAAAUAGAACUAAGUUAUAUUGAACAAUUAAUCUGAGAAAUUUGAAAUAAUUUGAAUGCGAGGGUAGGUCUUGCAUUUAAAUUAUGAGCAAUUGAGAUUGACAAAUAUAUUUCAUCAGAUAUUAGAUACAUGCGAUUUGCAUACACAAAUAGCCUUGGUUUAUUGCUUCAUCUCAUGUUUUAUUUCCAUACCUCGUAAGUGAUGAUUCUCCUGUCUCCCACAUAUAAGAUAUAAUAAGAAACUUCUUUUGAAGUAUGUUCCAUAUGGGAUCUUAUCCACAUAUGGAAAAGCAUAACCUGUCUUGAGAGAUAACAUAAGUUGUCCCAUUCGAUAUCUUUGGAUCCAAAAGUGAUUUCAAUUCAUAUGCAAUGAAUUAAUUACAAAUAACCAAGUUUUCCUUCCUAAAUAUUAUUCAACAGCAAUACAGCAUAGUUAGAAUGAAAGACAUUGUUAACUGAAGAGCUCUGCUUUGUUUAUGGCAUUGAUUUAAAUUGUUUAGUGCAGUGGCAGUAAUGCCAUAUGUGCACCUUAUGCAUUCAAUUCCAAUUUUCCAAUGAUGGAACAUACAACCAUUCAUUAUAAUUUCUGAAUUCUGCCAUUAACACAUAAUUCAUAAAUAGGAAAUUCUAUUUCAGAUUUUCAUGGCUAUGCAAAACCUUCACGCCUUUUAGAAGCCACAGAACCAAAAUUUUGCACAGAAACCUUACAAGGGAAGGAUUUUACAUCUUUUGGUGUUGUUAGAUCUCAGUCUUUAUUUAAGAUGAAGAUACAGACAAGUAAUGCAUAUGGCUCAAGUAUGAGUGAUCUGAAUGCUGGAAUACUCUUAUGCUUGGUAGACACAAAUGGUGACUCUAUAUUGCAGAGAAUUCCCGUGAUUUUGAAAUCGGAUUCUACAGAACCCAUGGAUGAGGUUGAGUGCAGCAUACUUCAUUUCCAAAGAGGUUCAAUUGAUGAAUUCACUUUCGAGGGACCAAAAUUGGAGAGAAUUGAAGCUCUUUGGGUCGGCAUUGAAUCAGGUUUGUCUCUUCUAGAUGUAGGUUGUUCUGAUGGCCUAUAGGCAUAGUAAUUGUACUUUCUGCACCAGAAUUGUGGAGGAUAUUUGUUGGGGCGCCCAUUCACAUAUGGCUUAAAGACGUCAGAAAUAUGCUGAUGCCUGCCUUAUAAUUAAGUAAAACACACAAGUCAUGACUAAAUCUUUUUCACAUAAUCUCCACAAUGUACUAAUUAAAUUGAUUUAGGUUUUUGAGAUAUCAUUGUAGGAAACGCUCUUAUAUCUGUUAUGUUUGACUUGAGUAUUGUAACAAUGGGUUUUAGUUUCCUCUUUGAUUUGAAUUUCUAAGUCAGGUCAGUGGAGAUUAGACAGUGUUAGCCUGACAGUCAUUAGUGCUUGUGUACCUUCACUGGAGCAAGAUGAUGGAGAACAGACUCAGUUUACUGGUUUCCAUUAUGAAUUUGAAGUAGACGAUGUCUUGCUUGGAGAGAAGAGUGAAAGAUCCGUGAUGGAACUAAGACCUAGCACAAUUUCAGAAUUAUCUGGGAUUGACCCAUUCAACUUGUUGAGUAAAAGCCUUUCAAAUUCAGCAUCAGGGUCAGGUGGCAGGAUUUCUAAUGAAGAAACUAUGAGAGAGUAUGCAGAUUUGAAGUUAUCUUUGCUGUCAUAUGAUGCUGCUUUAAUUUUUGGUGGUUCAGUAAUAGCAAAUUUCUCAGCUGGAGAAAAUGAAGCUUUCGCAUUCUUUAUUGGUGGAACAGUGGGCUUCUUAUAUUUGUUGUUGUUGCAAAGAUCCGUUGAUGGAAUACCUGCUUCGCCGCCGAUUUCCCGGAAUACAGGAAGGAUUGAUCAGUUAUUUAGAGGGUUUAAGGGGCCAGUAUCAGGCUUGGCAUUGGCGUUAGGAUUCACCUUUCUGGCAGUGAAAUAUAGCUUUGGAGAUUCUCCCAUGGUGUUGACCCCAAAAGAACUUUUGUUUGGAAUGAUGGGAUUUCUUGCAUGUAAAGUUGCAGUGGUUUUAGCAGCAUUUAAGCCAAUGUCCAUGGGUUUGAAGGAGAAUGAAUGAUACUUAUCAUUCGUUUUAUUUUCUUCUUCUGUAGAGAAUUGAAAGAUUUAGAUAUGGCAUGGAAUACAACAGGAAACAUUCCAUUAUGUAUAUACGUGUAUAUAAGAAACAUGAGAAAUUCUUAGGUGGGCUUGUUCUAUCAGAUUAUUUGUAGACUAAAUCAGUCAAAUUAUUUUAUGGUAAUAUAAUCAUAGAUAAAUAUG